Molecule: ribosomal RNA, 251 nt
Filed under: uncultured bacterium
Lineage: Bacteria
Description: partial 16S ribosomal RNA
Rfam family: Bacterial small subunit ribosomal RNA
Source: RNAcentral
GCAAGUCGUACGGGAUUUCAUCUUUCGGGAUGAAUGAGAGUGGCGCACGGGUGCGUAACGCGUAUGCAACCUACCUGUUACAGGGAGAUAGCCCGGGGAAACUCGGAUUAAUAUUCCAUAGUAUAUAAUCGUUGCAUGGUGAUUAUAUUAAAGCCUUCGGGUGGUAACAGAUGGGCAUGCGUAGGAUUAGCUAGUUGGCGAGGUAACGGCUCACCAAGGCGACGAUCCUUAGGGGUUCUGAGAGGAAGGUC